AUGACUGAACCUGUUAGAUUCAAAAUGCCACUCAGGAAAGCCUCAGCAUUCACAGCUAACACGAGAAAACCCAUAAAGGGCCCAGAUCACCUGAAGUUUCAUCUUCACUCCCAAGCAAAAGACUGGGACUUUUCUUGGACUGGGACUGUGAUCUGGAGCUAUGACUUGGACCUGGGACUCUGGAUCUUGGACUGCUUCUGGCCAGACUCUCUCUCCACUGACCCACCUAACUGCACCCCCUGUACCUACUAUGGAAGACACUGAGGAAAAUAGAGGCCAAAUGACUUGCCCAAGGUCACACACCUAGAGCUGAGCCAAGAUGUUCAAGUUUGAUUCUUGUUCAGUAGAAGCCAUGGAAAUACAGAGAAGCACCUUCAAGCAGAACAGGUCGGCGCUGCUUCAAACUGAGGUUCCAGAGCUGCUGGCAACCUGGUUAUGCCAUCUAGCUUGGCCAUGGAUCACACACACAUGCACACGUGCACACACAUGCAAAUAUACCUGUAAUUCUUUUGACUGAGCAUGUCUCCUUACUCUCUCUGGGUCAGUGAUAGCCAAUGACAAGGAAGGGAUGGAGAAGGGGGAAAAAACUCAAAAACUGAUGCCUUCAGCAAAGGAGAAAAUGAUAGGGCAAGUCUGAGGUUACCUGAGCAAUAUCUGGGUUCUUAAUAACUCACAUUUAUGUAGUGCUUCAACUUUUACAAUGGGAUUUCUUCCUGACAACACAGUGAGCUAUAAAGUGCAACUAUCAGUAUCCUCUUUAAACAGAAGUAGGGGGGACAGGGCAGAGUGGAUAAAGCACCCAACUGGGAGUUGGUCAAAUUUGACCUCAGACAUUUCCUAGCCAUGUGACCCUGGGCAAGUCACUUAACCUUGUUUGUAGCCAUUUCCUUGUCUGUAAAAAGAAAUGGUGGGGGCAGCUGGGUAGCUCAGUGGAUUGAUAGCCAGGCCUAGAGACAGGAGGUCCUAGGUUCAAGCCUGGCCUCAGACACUUCCCAGCUGUGUGACCCUGGGCAAGUCACUUGACCCCCAUUGCCUAGCCCUUACCACUCUUCUGCCUUGGAGCCAAUACAUGGUAUUGACUCCAAGAUGGAAGGUAAGGGUUUAAAAAAAAAGAAAGAAAUGGCAAACCACUCCAGUAUUUUUGCCAAGAAAACCCAAACGGGGCCUUGAAGAGUUGCAUAUAACUGAAAAAGUCUGAACAAUAACUAAUGUUAAUAAGGUAUAGGCAGGGAGCAAGAAGGUGGUUCAGUGGAGCUGGGAAAACCUACAUUCAAAUCUGACCUGAGACAUUUGCUAGCUGCGUGACCCUGGGCACCUCACUUAACCCCAUUUGCCUAGUCCUUGCCCUUCUGUCUCUGAGUUGUUACUAGGACAGAAAGUAAGAGUCUAAAUAUUUUUUAAAAACGGAUGAGGGAACUGAGGCUGGGGGUAGGGGAUGAUUACUCAUGAUCAUGCAGCUAGGACUUGCCAGAUUUAGGAUUCAAAUCCAGGUCUCCUACCUCCAAACCUAGUACUAUUUCUACAACAUAUGCUGCCACUACAUUGUACACAAUUACAUCCACAUACAUCUGCGGUCCUCCUAACAAUUUCAUUCCUACAGUAUGGCCCUUUGAAGUACCAACUGGAGACGUUGGUAAAAAUUAAAUUAAAAAAAGAAAGAAGAAAAUCCUUUCUGAUCUUUUUUCCUUGUGGAGGUGGAUUCCCAAACAACAGGAUGGCUUUACCAGCCUGGGAAGCAAUAAACAUGGAGGGAGAAUUAAGAUGCUGGGAAUC
Molecule: long non-coding RNA, 1773 nt
Organism: Monodelphis domestica (gray short-tailed opossum)
Lineage: Eukaryota; Metazoa; Chordata; Mammalia; Didelphimorphia; Didelphidae
Source: Ensembl